This 211-nucleotide unclassified non-coding RNA is filed under the name Hevea brasiliensis (rubber tree). Lineage: Eukaryota; Viridiplantae; Streptophyta; Magnoliopsida; Malpighiales; Euphorbiaceae. The record is from RNAcentral.
UCUUCUUCUCUGAUGGAAACUACCGGUUGCUAAGAGCUUUGACUGGUGAGACAAGGGUUCCAUCCUUAGUAAUAAUCAAUCCCAUUUCACAGCAGCAUUAUGUUCCUGAGCAGAAGAAUUUCAGCUAUUCUGCACUGGAGGAUUCUCUUCAUAGAUUUCUCAACGGAAUGCUUAUCCCAUACCAACGCUCCGAGUCUGAACCUGAAAGCCC